AACGAACGCUGGCGGCAUGCCUAACACAUGCAAGUCGAACGAGACCUUCGGGGCUAGUGGCGCACGGGUGCGUAACGCGUGGGAACCUGCCCUUAGGUGCGGAAUAACUCCCCGAGAGGGGUGCUAAUACCGGAUAAUGUCUUCGGACCAAAGAUUUAUCGCCUUUGGAUGGGCCCGCGUUGGAUUAGCUAGUUGGUAGGGUAAAAGCCUACCAAGGCGACGAUCCAUAGCUGGUCUGAGAGGAUGAUCAGCCACACUGGGACUGAGACACGGCCCAGACUCCUACGGGAGGCAGCAGUGGGGAAUAUUGGACAAUGGGCGAAAGCCUGAUCCAGCAAUGCCGCGUGAGUGAUGAAGGCCUUAGGGUUGUAAAGCUCUUUUACCCGGGAUGAUAAUGACAGUACCGGGAGAAUAAGCUCCGGCUAACUCCGUG
Molecule: ribosomal RNA, 433 nt
Filed under: uncultured bacterium
Lineage: Bacteria
Description: partial 16S ribosomal RNA
Rfam family: Bacterial small subunit ribosomal RNA
Source: RNAcentral